Non-coding RNA from Brachypodium distachyon (stiff brome), 136 nucleotides. NCBI's taxonomy places the organism in Eukaryota, Viridiplantae, Streptophyta, Magnoliopsida, Poales, Poaceae. The record is from Rfam.
GUAGCACUCCCUCCGUCCGACGAAGAAUGUCUCAAUUUUGAUUAAAUUUGAAUGCCUCUAUACACUAAGUUAUGUUUAGAUACAUUCAAAUUUUGACAAACUUGAGACAUCUUUUGUUGGACGGAGAAAGUACUAA